This 455-nucleotide ribosomal RNA is filed under the name uncultured Campylobacterota bacterium. RNAcentral's name for it is "bacterial SSU rRNA". It matches the Rfam family "Bacterial small subunit ribosomal RNA", at positions 8 to 456 of the family's 1533-position model. Lineage: Bacteria; Pseudomonadati; Campylobacterota. The record is from RNAcentral.
AGAGUUUGAUCAUGGCUCAGAGUGAACGCUGGCGGCGUGCUUAACACAUGCAAGUCGAACGAGAACGGCUCUAGCUUGCUAGAGUGUCAGCUAAGUGGCGGACGGGUGAGUAAUGUAUAGUUUAUCUGCCCCUUGGAGAGGGAUAACAGUUGGAAACGGCUGCUAAUACCUCAUACUCCUGUUGCUGUAAAGGUAACAGGGAAAUGGUUUAUUCUGCCAAGGGAUGAGACUAUAUGAUAUCAGGUAGUUGGUGGGGUAAGAGCCUACCAAGCCAAUGACAUCUAGCUGGUCUGAGAGGAUGAUCAGCCACACUGGAACUGAGACACGGUCCAGACUCCUACGGGAGGCAGCAGUGGGGAAUAUUGCACAAUGGGGGAAACCCUGAUGCAGCAACGCCGCGUGGAGGAUGACACAUUUNGGUGCGUAAACUCCUUUUAUAUGGGAAGAUANGGACG